RNAcentral lists this long non-coding RNA (8975 nucleotides) under Gallus gallus (chicken). The record is from RNAcentral. Lineage: Eukaryota; Metazoa; Chordata; Aves; Galliformes; Phasianidae.
GAAAGGGAGAGGCUGUUAUGUUUGGCGCCUGUGGAGGGAGUCAUUCCUGCAGCUGCACUUCCGGUCGGCAUUUUGUUCUGAGGGAGCGAGAAAGGCAUACACACAGGAUCCGAUUCUAUCUUAUCUUAUCCUAUUCUAUCCUUUCUCUUUUCUUCCCAACCCGCCACCCCUAUCUCCUCUCGGUACCGAUUCACCCUGCCUAGGCGGUCCCCUCCCCCGCCCUCUUGCACUUGCACGCAGAGGCGGCCCCCUUGUCAGCACUACUCCCGCCCCUUCGCGGCUCGGACUGUGCGUCGGAACCAGUUCAGCCUGGCCCAUGUUGAUACUGUGAAGCAGGCUCAGGGGGAAGGGAUUUGUCUUGGUCGCUCACCGCUUGGCUCUACAUGUUCGCUGCACUGAGGAGGAGGCGGAAGAGGAACUAGCUCCCCUCCCGGCCCGGAUUAUUGUUGUUAUAUUAUCUCCCCUCCUCCUCCUGCUCCGCGGUGGUGGCUCGGCAGCGGCUCCUCUGAGGAGGGAGGGAGUGGAUUUUUCUCCCCCUUUUCGAUUCUCGUUGGAUUCAGACGACGAUUUGUUCAGGGCAAGGAAGUAAGAUCCCAGUGCAGACAGCCCUCUGAGCUGAGGAAGGAGUAAGUGGAGGGGUAGGAGAAAAGAGGUAAUGUAAAUAUCGUCACUAUUCUCUUCACCUUCUGACAAACUCCGUUCUGAAUAUUCAAAUGUUCAGUUGGACAAAUGUUUGAUCUUUAAAUAAGAUAGUGAUUGAUUAGUCUGUUAAUAAAUUUGUAUGUUUAUAGUAUAAAACCUAGAUUUUGUGGGGAUGUUGGCACAACACAGGUACCUGCAGACACAGGAAAUACAGAUAGACAAGCAUAUUGUGUCAGGCUUCCACACAGUCAUGUUUAUGUGCUGUAGGUGUUACAGGAACGUGUACUGAAAUCAGAAGAAAUACUAUGUUUUGUAGCAAACAGAAAAUGGGAAAGGGGUCAUGUGUGAAGUAGUACAUUUAUGACAUUUCAGGGGUCAAGAUAAAGAUGAGAUCUUACCUGAAGUUCUUGGGAAUUGAACAUGAAUUUAAUUAAGUGAAAAGUGAGAAAUGUUUAAAAAACUUUCUGUUCUUGUCAGACUUGAGGUUGUUAUUGGCCUUUUGUGUCCAUUAUGUUUUAAGUUGCCACUUUAACAGGUCAAAUGUGUUUUGUAAAUGACUGUUAAGUAUCAAGUCUUCACAAAUAAGUGGUAGCUAAUUUUCAAUUAAGUAAAUCUUGGACUUACUGUGUGGUAGAGUGUGAACUAAUAAAAAUACUCCUCCAGAAAUUACGUAAUUGAGGGAAAUUUUAAGAUACCAAGUUUCAUCUUUCAUAUAGAAAGGAAAUUAUAAAUGACAAACAAGUAUCAAUAUCUUAUAAUUUGUCUUUUCAAGUAGAUUUUUGACUUGUUCAGGCAGAUCUGUUAUAAUAAUAAGUGGCUAUUGUAUCUGAGAAAAUAACUUUCUGGGGUAUUGUGUUUAGAGUCUUAAAAACUGCUUUCAUGCCUCUGAGUGCCUUUAUAAGUGUUUAAAGGGUGAAGUUAAUAUAGCUGUCACUUGAAAAGUAUCAUUUUAAUGAUGUAAAUCCAUGUAGAAGUCAGUAGUGUGUCUGUGAUUUGUAUUGGUCAGGGAGCAGUUUGAAUUUUUAAAAGCCUGUGGAUCCUGCUGAGCCUCAAUCUCAGCUUCCCUUCCUCCCUCCUGCUAAUCUCCCAUUCCUGUCUUUGUGCUGCCUGGUCCUGUUAACGGGGUCUCAGGCCUACAUGCACGGAGAAGCAGCAUUUACACUUCAAAAAAACAGCUUUUUAUUUUUAAACUUUAUUAAUUGCAGAGGGAGCCACUAGUUGUCUCAGAAUGUCCCUAUCACCAUGCGUAGCUGAAUUACUGUUUUCUUUUGGUUGGUAACAUGUAUAGGGGCUGAGCGUAAUUCUGCUUUACAGGAAAGAAAGGACUGUGCAGAAAUAGUUGGGUAGUAUUCAUCAUCAGGAAGCAACAUUAGCUGUAACAUUUCAUUGUUUAAAAUAACUCUUGUUUUAAUAAAAAUGCUUAUAUUAAACUAAGAGUAGUGAACUUUCUGACUUAUGUUUCAUUUAAGAUUUGAUUUAAAUAUAUGAGAGAUGAGCAGGAAAUGAGCUACUGUAGUUACAUAGUUCCUGUCAAGUUUGUCUUUUCAGGUUUGUAUUUAUGAUUUUUUUUCUUUUAUCAAGUAUGCACUUGAUAAAUGCACCUAUUUUUAAUAUCAUAAAAGGGAAAUUUAGGAUGCUGGCUAUUUGUGAUUUAUAAUGUUUGUUUUUGUUCUUUUGAGCCGUAUAUGAGUAAUUAUAUUACUAAAACAAUUUGCAGAUCCUUGUUUUGUAUGAGCGCAACUUCAUUACAUGUUUGGGACUCCAUGAACAGUCAUGUUCAUAUGAUUUCUUGCAGAAUCAAGGCAAGAUGUAGUAAUGUCUUUGAGUUGCAACCAUGCUUUUUGUUGUUUGUAUGAUUAUGAAGAUAAUGCAGCCUUAAUGGUUAGUGUAUAUAAUCCUCUAUAAUAUAAAUAAACUGUAUUUUGAAGGAUACGAGAUUAAAUAUAUAUAGUGAAUUAAUUUGAGCCAGGGAUUGGUGUAACUAGUUAGCAAAGUUAGUGGACAAUUGCUAGUAACUAGAAGGAGAAAUUAUACUUUGAUUUUGAAUAUUUAGAUCUAAGAAGAAAUUGUUUUCAAAUUCAGAACUAUAUGCUUUCUAGAAAUUAUUCUAUAGGAAUAUAUUCUGCGUUUAUCAGUGUGUGGACAUUUAGACAGAUUAUGGAAAUAAUUAGAAAAAUAUGAGUUUGGAUAACUUUAGAGUUUGGCGUCUGGUAGGUAUGAGAUGGAUCUUCCAGUGUUAUAAUAGCUAUUUACUGACACAAAAUACGUAAUUAGAAAUAUUUACCAUUUGAAAAAAAAAAAAAAACCUGUUCAUUUCAGUAUGAUGCAACCUACUUUCAGUCUUCCAUUUAUAAGUGCCUUUAUUAGAAGCAGUGCAGGUUAGGUUAGCUUCUGAUUUUGAAUAAUCAGCAGUAAGGAGCACUCAGUUGCAUGGGAAAAAAGCUUACAAGGAAAAGUUUGAAAUUGGUGAUACAGAGUUAUUACCAGUAAUAUACAGAUAUAGUAAUUGAAAAAGGAAGUCCUUUUGUAAUGACAGUAUUAUAAAACCUUUUAAUACAAUUCAUCUAUAUUUAUGUUAAUAUUUUAUUAGCAUUAGAACUAUAUUUAGUAGAUGAUCCUGACCUGCAAAGUAUGUGGGAGAGAAAUGCUUUAUAUUGAUGUCUUUUAUACCCAAGGAGUGAGGCAAUUGUGUUUGAGGAGUUUGUGCAGGACCCAUGAUUUGUGUCACACUUCCUGUACCAACUGUUCACCGUGGAAAAUCUCAAUAGCAACAAGGAUGGGAGAAAGGAUUUUGAUCAAGCUGUGUGUAGAAGCUAAAAGGAAUUCCAGUCAAAUUGAAUUUAGUUGUUGGCGCUGUACUUGAAGGUGACUACUUGGUUUACACAAAUAACAUUUUAAAAAACAUGAAAAAUAUUCUUCACUGUUUAUGUUAAAGUGUUUCAGUCAGAACAAUUUGUAGAAUAUUAUUUUUAUUGCUUUUAAUAUUUGUCAGUUGGCUCUAAGUGUUGUUUUUCUUAAAUCGUGUAGAAUCACAGAGUCAUAGGGGUUGGAAGGGACUUCGAGAGAUAAUUUAGUCCAACUCCCCUGCUAAAGCAGGUUCCCUACAGUGAGUUACACAGGAAGGUGUCCAGAUGGGUCAUGAAUAUCUCCGUAGAAGGAGAACCCACAACCUCUCUGGGCAGGCUGUUCCAGUGCUCUGUAACCCUCAAGGUAAAGAAGUUCUUCCGCAUGUUUGUAUGGACCUUCCUGUGUUCCAGUUUUUUGCCUGUUGCCCCUUGUUCUGUUGCUGGGUGCUGUUGAAAAGAGCCUGCCCCCAUCCAGUUGGCUCCUGCUCAUCAGAUAUUUAUAUGCAUUGAUAAGAUCACCUCUUAGCCUUCUCUUCUCCAAGCUGAAGAGUCCCAGGGCUCUCAGCUGUUCAUCAUAUGGGAGGUGCUCCAGGUCCCUCAUCAUCUUUGUGGCCCUCAGUUGGACUCUCUCUAGGAGACCCUUUUUUGAACUGUUGAGCCCAGAACUAGACACAGUAGUCUAAAUGUGGCCUCACCAGGGCAGAGUAGAGGGGGAGGAUCACCUCCCUUGACCUGCUGGCCAUGCUCUUUGAUAUGCACCCCAGGAUCACAUUGGCCUUCUUGGCCACAAGGGCACACUGCUGGCUCAUGGCCAGUCUGUUAUCCACCAUGAUCCCCAGGUCCUCUCCAGCAGGUCAGCCCCUCCUCUGUACUGAUGCAUGUGGUUAUUCCUCCCCAGGUGUAAGACUGUACACUUGCUCUUAUUUGAACCUCAUCAAAUUCCUCCCUGCCCAACUCUCAGCCAGUCCAGGUCAUGCUGAAUGGUAGCACAGCCUUCUGGUGUGUCAGCCAAUCCUCCCAGCUUUGUAUCAUCAGCAAAUUUGCUGAGGGUGCACUCUAUUUCUUCAUCCAGGUCAUUGAUGAAGAUGUUAAUUAGUUCUUAAUUCUUUAUUUGGCUAGAUAUUCCUUUUUUUUUUUUUUUCAAAUUAUUGCUAUGGUUUGAUAUGAAGCACAGUAUGUUAUUUGCAGCAGUGUAUAUGUGUAUGAACGCGAUGUAUUUUACAGGAACAGUGUUUAAAAAAAAAAAAAAAAAAACGUUAUGCUGCGAAGUCAAGGAUUCCAGAUAAGGAAAGAACAGACUAAGACUUGAGAAAUAAACACAGUCCAGCCCCCUUUUCCAUACACUGGGCCUUAACAUUAUUUUUUCCCCCUUACCCUUAUGGUCACAAUUCAGUGCCUCAUACAGUGCAUGGGAAAUAUCAGCUGACUAGUAUACUGCUACAACGUAGUUUAUCUAUUUGUUUUUCUUUGUCAUUCAUUGUGCAGCCUGCUGCUUUAUCUGCUGUAUAGCAUCCAAAUAUUUCAGUUAAUGUUGAAUUGUUUUCGUCUAUUAAUUUGUAGAAAUUAUCAUCAUAAUACAUAUUUGUGCUUCGCGAACAUUAGAUAACGUUUCUUUAGCAUAUCAGUAAAAUAUUAUUUCCAUUUUACAUAUGGAAGACUGAAACUGAGUCAAAAUUGUGAGUUUAGAAAGUGAAUAAAUCUUGUGUGUCAUUUGAUGUGCUUUAUUCUUGAGAUUUUUUUUUUUAGUUACUUUAUAGCAUGUAAUGAGUUCAUAACAUUAUUUUCUUUUGAUUUUAUUUGUGGAUGUGAGUGGCUUGCACUUCAACAUAUCAGACCCGUUGUUUCCCAUGCUGCAUCCCUAAGUAUAGAAUGGGUUUUCACUGAUGACCUUUUCAGUUUCAACUGUCCUGAUCAUUCCAAGAGCUGAACAAAAAUAGAUUUCCUGUCCUGAAAAAUUAAAAAGAAUCUCCCUCUAUAAUGUGAAGAAACCAAAAUAUCUUCAGUGAGAUCUGAGACGCUAACUAGAUAAAUAACCAAAAACCUUCAAGUGAUUAAAUGGCUUGUCUGCAACAUUGGAAAUGUUCAAAAUGCUACUUUCCACAGUUACUAGCUCCUGAUCAAAUGUCCUAAGGAUUGGCUGUUAAGGAUGAAACUCUGCCUCUUAAAGUGGUAAUUAUUGUAGUUCAUGUAAAUUGGUUGAAUGGAUACCUCUGCAUCAGACCAUUUCAUUGCAAUGUCAGUCUGUUGUCCAAUUAAUAUUUGUGCUAAAUUUUAUGACUAUGAACAGAGAUAUUCUUUAGCCCACUCUGGGUAUAUUAUAGAACAGAUAGAACAAGGUUCCAGAAGAUGAUCUCUUGGAUGGGAUUUUUUAAAAUGGUUUUUACUAAGAAAUCUGAAGAACAUACUGUUAAUAAAGCGUAACAUCCCACAGAAAUAAGCUCUUCUUGCUAUGUAACUAAUUUGUUUCAUGACUAUCAUCUGUCAUGUACUAUGAAUAAAGCAGGGAAUUACUGAUUUUAUGUAGCAAAAUCAGUAUAUGAUCAUUUAAUGAAAGACUAUCAUAAUGCCCAAGGGACUGAAUUAUAGGUGCAAGCAACCUUAGUUUUGACAUUUAAUACUUUACUUCUGACCUUCUCUUUUUUUUAAUAAUGUAAUUUAUGAGACUCCUUGAAUGUUAUGUUAGCGUGUGCCUGUGACAGUGUAACCUCUGUCUCUUAUGUCUAAGCUAACAAUUAUCUCUUUUGUGUUGACUAGAUACUCAGAAAUGAUGUUUUCAAAUAGUUUCUCUGAAAUUUUAUUUUCAGAUCUUGGAUUACAGUAGACUGUCCUACUUUUUGCAUGUUGUCUUCCAUUCAGAUAUGUUGCUUUCUCUUUCUUCAGAGAUACUUUCUCAAUAUGGGGGGAGGAAUUCAGAGAGCUCUCAUCAGAUGCUAUGUACAGUAACUUCCUUAGUACCUGUUGGAAAAAUAAGCUAAAACAUGUUUUGUUUUUUUGGUCUAAAAUUUGAGAAAAUUUUGGUAAGACACUGUCAUGGUUUUGGCUGGGAUAGAGUUAAUUUUCUUUCAAGAGGUUUGUAUGAUCUUGUGUUCUGGAUUUUUGAUGAAAAUAGCGGUGAUAACACACCAAUGUUUUUAGUUGUUACAGAGUAGUGCUUAUGCAGUCAAGGAUUUUUUUUUCUACUGCUCAUGCAGUCCUGUCAGCAAGGAGGCUGGAGGGUACACAAGCGGUUGGGAGGGGACACAGCCAGGACAGCUGAUGCAGACUUGAUCAAAGUAAUAUUCCAUACAAUGUGAUGUGAUGUUCAGCAAUAAAAGCUGGGAGGAAGGAGGAGGAAGGGGGGGGAUGUUUGGAAUGAUGUUGUUUAUCUUCCCAAGAAACAGUUAUGUGCGAUGAGCCCUACUUUCCUGGAAGUGGCCUCUUGAUGCGAAACAGUGAAUGAAUUCCCUGUUUUGCUUUGCUUGCAGGUGUGGCUUUUGCUUUACCUAGUAAACUGUCGUUAUCUCAGCCCAUGAGUUCUUGCACUUCUACCUUCCCAAUUUUCUCCCCUAUCCCACCUGUAGUGAGUGAGCAAGAGGCUGUGUGGUACUUAGCUAUCUGCUGGGAUUAAACCACAACAGACUCUCUUAGAACUGUAGUAAGAACACAUGGAGAGUGCUUUGUAGAGAUAUAAAAUCAGUUUCAUGUUUAUUUUGUCUGAAUGGAAAAUUAAAAAUCUGCCUAAUUAUUUUGUUUGUUACAUUUCUUGUUCAAAGUAAGGAGACAUGAUUGCUCAGGGAUGAUUGGUUCUUUCUGGCAGUUUUAAAGAAAACUCAUGUUGAGAAAUGACCUCUAACAUAAUUGGAAGUUAUUUUUUUUAAAGUAUGUUGCUCCCUACUUAGAUUGUAUAGAUGAAGAGUGGUAGUGACUCCUCUUGGUUUUCUAAUGCUAUUAAAAGACACUGUUUUUUUGUUUUUUUUUUUACUUCUGAAAUUGUUAUAUUUGAGUCAUUUGGGCUGAAAUUUUCCAUGCUGGGUGAUUGCCCUUUAGUUGCUAACUCUUUUAAUAAAGCUUAAAAGCCAAAAGGUUUAAUUGGCUCUUAAGGGUCAGGCUAGAGGAAGAAAAAAGUUCAAAAAUAAUUUCUGACCUUCAAGUAAUUUGAACAUCUGCAUUGUUUGGGAGAGGACUUCAAAACUUAAAUGAGGUAACUUUUGCAGUAUUUUGUUGCCAUUUGAAAGUGUGUUUAAAGAAAUAAAUUGAGCAAGUUACUGGUGAAUGAAAUGAUCUAGCUUCUUGUAUAGGUGUUGAAGUUGAAAAAUGUUGUAUAUGCAAUAGGACUUUCCAAGUAAGUACAGUUCUAAGUAGUGAGAUGUAGUAUGGACUCUUCUGGUGGCCAUUCACUACUUAUAUGCAAUGUUGAUUUGUUCAAAUGUGAAAAAGACAAGAACUGAGGUUGCAGGUGUUUGGAAGGGUAAACACGUUGAAGAGUGGUGGGUUGCAACUAAGCUUACAAGGAUGAGAAAGGAAUGGAAGUUUGAAGGGCAAGAACUUUGGAGGAAGGUGAAAGAUUGGAGUUCCUAAGGAAGUGAUGGGACUGGAUAAAGGAGCUGGUAGGACUGUAAACAGUUUUGGGCCUGUUCGGCCUGGUUCUGUGGGUAAUUGGGGCAGAGGGACCCACACCCCAGGAGAGGGGGAAGAGGAAAAAGGUAGGGAGAUGGGCCUAAAAACAAAACAGUGGCAGCGAGCUAAGGGAGAAAGCUAAUUUACUAAAUAUGAUAGCAGAAUGCAAGAUAACCCAAUAUAAUACAAUAUAAUUGGAAUUCAAGCUAGUAAACAAAAUGAGAGACAGGGUGUCCAAAACUGAAGGCUUUACUCUAAUGCUAAAGGCGAGAUGGCUGGGGAAUACACGCCGCAGAGAUGAGCAGUGAAAGAAGGGGCAAUCUCAUGACUUGCAAGCAGUUUUAGCUUUCCCUCUAAACAGAAAAAGGAAAUAGAACAGUGAAAGUCUUCUGGGAAAUGUAGUUCUCUUCUGAGAACCAGGUACCCGGAAAUAUCAACAGUCCAUGGAAGUGGAGCAUUAACUCUUUAACUCUCAGUGCUUUAUAUGAUGUUAUGAUGUGGAAUACUGAUAACAAAAAUCAUAAAACCAUGACAUAAGACAGAUACAGUUGUCCUUAGUGAAGAUACUGGAAGAGCUAUGAAAUAGCUUUAGCAUGAAACAGGGACAAAAGGAUACUCUAAAAUUGGGUGUGCAAAGGAAACUGUUUAGGGACAAGAGUGGGUGGAAGUCUGUACUGAGAGGGGCCAGAAAAGGAAGGAGGAACAAAUUGUUGGAAAAGCCAGAACUACAAAACAAGUGUUGACUGGGCAAAUAAGCAUUUUUUCACAUCUAGGAAUAUGUGGAGUUCUUAUUGUAAGAGGAAAUAGUAAGGAAUUGUGUAGUUCAGAUUCUGUGUAGUCUGCAUUUCAUCUUUGUGAAAGCACUGUAGUAGUCUUUAAGUCUGUUGUCAC